This 407-nucleotide ribosomal RNA is filed under the name uncultured bacterium. RNAcentral describes it as "partial 16S ribosomal RNA". It matches the Rfam family "Bacterial small subunit ribosomal RNA", at positions 30 to 526 of the family's 1533-position model. The record is from RNAcentral.
AUUGAACGCUGGCGGCAGGCCUAACACAUGCAAGUCGAGCGGAGCGGCGGACGGAAGAGUAAUGCCUAGGAAUCUACCUGGUAGUGGGGGAUAAAGUCCGGCAACGGGCGGUAAGACCGCCUGCUAUCAGAUGGGUCAAGCGCGGAUGAGCUAGUUGGUGGGGUAAAGGCCUACCAAGGCGACGAUCCGUAACUGGUCUGAGAGGAUGAUCAGUCACACUGGAACUGAGACACGGUCCAGACUCCUACGGGAGGCAGCAGUGGGGAAUAUUGGACAAUGGGCGAAAGCCUGAUCCAGCCAUGCCGCGUGUAUGAAGAAGGUCUUCGGAUUGUAAAGCACUUUAAGUUGGGAGGCGUUACCAACAGAAUAAGCACCGGCUAACUUCGUGCCAGCCGCCGCGGUAAUAC